This 792-nucleotide ribosomal RNA is filed under the name Clinterocera nigra. Its description in RNAcentral is "12S ribosomal RNA". Lineage: Eukaryota; Metazoa; Arthropoda; Insecta; Coleoptera; Scarabaeidae. The record is from RNAcentral.
GCCUUACUAGGUACACUUUCCAGUACACCUACUAUGUUACGACUUAUCCCACUUUAGAGUGGGAGCGACGGGCGAUAUGUGCAUAUUUUAGAGCUAAAAUCAUAUAAUCUAACUAAAUUAUAUUACUAUCAAAUCCACUUUAUACUAUAAUGUUAAUUAUAAUAACCAUUUAAAUAUAUUUAUUGUAACCCAUCUCUUCUUAUCUAUGCGCUGUAUCUUGAUCUGAUUUCCUUUAUCUUAAUAAAUCAUGAACAUUCCUUUUUCUCUUAAAACAUUCAACCUACGACGAUAUACAAACCUAUAAAAUAAGUACAAUUAAUCGUGGAUCAUCAAUUACAGGACAGGUUCCUCUGAAUAGACUAAAAUACCGCCAGAUUCUUUGAAUUUCAAGAACAUAACUACUACUACUCUAGUAUAACAAUUUAAAUUUUCAAUAAUAGGGUAUCUAAUCCUAGUUUACUUCAAAAAUUUCGUAACCUCAUAUCAUAUUUUAUAGUUUAUAUAAAAUUAAUAAUUUCACCUAAUAACUUUACUUUAAAACUAAAACAAAUUACAUUAAUUACUUACUAAACUUAUUUAAUCGCGCUAUUUGUGUAACCGCAACUGCUGGCACAAAUUUUGUCAACACUAUUAUAAAUCCCUAAAUCAAAGUUCCCUUUAUUUUUAAUCUUCAAUAUUGCUACCUUAUUGUUAAUUUACAAUGUAUCUAUUUAAAACACACUAAAUUUCCCACAAAAAUUAGCAUAUAAAAUAGGCUAUAAACAAAAGACUUAAGCUAGAAUAAAACUUUAA